CCUUUAGCUCAGUAGGUAGAGCAUCGGACUUUUAAUCCGCAGGUCGCGGGUUCGAUCCCCGCAGGGC
This 67-nucleotide transfer RNA is filed under the name uncultured Yaniella sp. It matches the Rfam family "tRNA". Rfam says of the family: Transfer RNA (tRNA) molecules are approximately 80 nucleotides in length. Their secondary structure includes four short double-helical elements and three loops (D, anti-codon, and T loops). Further hydrogen bonds mediate the characteristic L-shaped molecular structure. tRNAs have two regions of fundamental functional importance: the anti-codon, which is responsible for specific mRNA codon recognition, and the 3' end, to which the tRNAs corresponding amino acid is attached (by aminoacyl-tRNA synthetases). tRNAs cope with the degeneracy of the genetic code in two manners: having more than one tRNA (with a specific anti-codon) for a particular amino acid; and 'wobble' base-pairing, i.e. permitting non-standard base-pairing at the 3rd anti-codon position. Lineage: Bacteria; Bacillati; Actinomycetota; Actinomycetes; Micrococcales; Micrococcaceae. The record is from RNAcentral.